RNAcentral lists this ribosomal RNA (492 nucleotides) under uncultured bacterium. Its description in RNAcentral is "partial 16S ribosomal RNA". It matches the Rfam family "Bacterial small subunit ribosomal RNA", at positions 29 to 507 of the family's 1533-position model. The record is from RNAcentral.
AGUGAACGCUGGCGGUAGGCCUAACACAUGCAAGUCGAACGGCAGCACAGUAAGAGCUUGCUCUUACGGGUGGCGAGUGGCGGACGGGUGAGGAAUACAUCGGAAUCUACUUUUUCGUGGGGGAUAACGUAGGGAAACUUACGCUAAUACCGCAUACGACCUACGGGUGAAAGCAGGGGAUCUUCGGACCUUGCGCGAUUGAAUGAGCCGAUGCCGGAUUAGCUAGUUGGCGGGGUAAAGGCCCACCAAGGCGACGAUCCGUAGCUGGUCUGAGAGGAUGAUCAGCCACACUGGAACUGAGCCACGGUCCAGACUCCUACGGGAGGCCGCAGUGGGGAAUAUUGGACAAUGGGCGCAAGCCUGAUCCAGCCAUACCGCGUGGGUGAAGAAGGCCUUCGGGUUGUAAAGCCCUUUUGUUGGGAAAGAAAAGCAGCAGGUUAAUACCCCGCUGUUCUGACGGUACCCAAAGAAUAAGCACCGGCUAACUUCGUG